UACGUAGGCAGCAAGCGUUGUUCGGAAUUACUGGGCGUAAAGAGUACGUAGGUGGUUUGCCAAGUCCGAUGUGAAAUCUCCUGGCUUAACUGGGAGGGUGCGUUAGAUACUGGCAGGCUUGAGUGUGGGAGAGGAGAGCGGAAUUCCUGGUGUAGCGGUGAAAUGCGUAGAUAUCAGGAGGAACGCCUGUGGUGUAGACGGCUCUCUGGACCAUAACUGACGCUGAGGUACGAAAGCGUGGGUAGCAAACAGG
This 253-nucleotide ribosomal RNA is filed under the name uncultured bacterium. RNAcentral describes it as "partial 16S ribosomal RNA". It matches the Rfam family "Bacterial small subunit ribosomal RNA", at positions 524 to 776 of the family's 1533-position model. The record is from RNAcentral.